UAUUCGUUAGUGUAAAGAGCAUAAAAAAUUUUGAUUUUUUAGGAAACAGUGUAAUUCUGUUACGUUUAA
This 69-nucleotide transfer RNA is filed under the name Carcinus maenas (green crab). Its description in RNAcentral is "tRNA-Gln". Lineage: Eukaryota; Metazoa; Arthropoda; Malacostraca; Decapoda; Carcinidae. The record is from RNAcentral.